Molecule: ribosomal RNA, 253 nt
Filed under: uncultured bacterium
Lineage: Bacteria
Description: partial 16S ribosomal RNA
Rfam family: Bacterial small subunit ribosomal RNA
Source: RNAcentral
UACGGGGGGAGCAAGCGUUGUUCGGAUUUACUGGGCGUAAAGGGCGCGUAGGCGGCGCAACAAGUCACUUGUGAAAUCUUCAGGCUUAACCUGAAGCGGCCAAGUGAUACUGUCGUGCUAGAGUGCGGAAGGGGCAACUGGAAUUCUUGGUGUAGCGGUGAAAUGCGUAGAUAUCAGGAGGAACACCGGUGGCGAAGGCGGGUCUCUGGGCCGAUACUGACGCUGAGGAGCGAAAGCGUGGGGAGCGAACAGG